ACGAACGCUGGCGGCGUGCCUAAUACCUGCAAGUAGAACGCUGAAGAGAGGAGCUUGCUCUUCUUGGAUGAGUUGCGAACGGGUGAGUAACGCGUAGGUAACCUGCCUUGUAGCGGGGGAUAACUAUUGGAAACGAUAGCUAAUACCGCAUAACAAUGGAUGACACAUGUCAUUUAUUUGAAAGGGGCAAUUGCUCCACUACAAGAUGGACCUGCGUUGUAUUAGCUAGUAGGUGAGGUAAUGGCUCACCUAGGCGACGAUACAUAGCCGACCUGAGAGGGUGAUCGGCCACACUGGGACUGAGACACGGCCCAGACUCCUACGGGAGGCAGCAGUAGGGAAUCUUCGGCAAUGGGGGCAACCCUGACCGAGCAACGCCGCGUGAGUGAAGAAGGUUUUCGGAUCGUAAAGUUCUGUUGUAAGUCAAGAACGGGUGUGAGAGUGGAAAGUUCACACUGUGACGGUAGCUUACCAGAAAGGGACGGCUAACUACGUG
This 496-nucleotide ribosomal RNA is filed under the name uncultured bacterium. RNAcentral's name for it is "partial 16S ribosomal RNA". It matches the Rfam family "Bacterial small subunit ribosomal RNA", at positions 29 to 507 of the family's 1533-position model. The record is from RNAcentral.